RNAcentral lists this transfer RNA (69 nucleotides) under Dipodomys ordii (Ord's kangaroo rat). It matches the Rfam family "tRNA". Rfam says of the family: Transfer RNA (tRNA) molecules are approximately 80 nucleotides in length. Their secondary structure includes four short double-helical elements and three loops (D, anti-codon, and T loops). The record is from Rfam by way of RNAcentral. Lineage: Eukaryota; Metazoa; Chordata; Mammalia; Rodentia; Heteromyidae.
GGGAAUGUGGCUUAGUGGUAGAGUGCUUGCCUUGUAUGCAUGAAGUUCUGGGUUCAAUUCUCAAAACCA